RNAcentral lists this ribosomal RNA (495 nucleotides) under uncultured bacterium. RNAcentral describes it as "partial 16S ribosomal RNA". It matches the Rfam family "Bacterial small subunit ribosomal RNA", at positions 28 to 507 of the family's 1533-position model. The record is from RNAcentral.
GACGAACGCUGGCGGCGUGCCUAAUACAUGCAAGUAGAACGCUGAAGGAGGAGCUUGCUUCUCUGGAUGAGUUGCGAACGGGUGAGUAACGCGUAGGUAACCUGCCUGGUAGCGGGGGAUAACUAUUGGAAACGAUAGCUAAUACCGCAUAAGAGUAGAUGUUGCAUGACAUUUGCUUAAAAGGUGCAAUUGCAUCACUACCAGAUGGACCUGCGUUGUAUUAGCUAGUUGGUGGGGUAACGGCUCACCAAGGCGACGAUACAUAGCCGACCUGAGAGGGUGAUCGGCCACACUGGGACUGAGACACGGCCCAGACUCCUACGGGAGGCAGCAGUAGGGAAUCUUCGGCAAUGGACGGAAGUCUGACCGAGCAACGCCGCGUGAGUGAAGAAGGGUUUCGGAUCGUAAAGCUCUGUUGUAAGAGAAGAACGAGUGUGAGAGUGGAAAGUUCACACUGUGACGGUAGCUUACCAGAAAGAGACGGCUAACUACGUG